This 890-nucleotide long non-coding RNA is filed under the name Gossypium barbadense (sea-island cotton). RNAcentral's name for it is "long non-coding RNA (GBAR_LNC020453)". The record is from RNAcentral. Lineage: Eukaryota; Viridiplantae; Streptophyta; Magnoliopsida; Malvales; Malvaceae.
AAAAAAAAGCUCUGAAAAGCUCUCCCCUCCCCCGAUAUCCGGCAUCCGGUCCAGUCAUCGGCCACCGCGCCGGCCGCCGAUCUCCAGCACCGGCACCGUCGUAUGCGGUGGCCGUAAAAGAAAAAAAUCUCGGAUCUGGUCCCUCCGAAGCCCUCAAAUGCAGAUCCAGGUUAUUUCUUUCCUUUUAUUUGUCUUCUUAUUCGUAUAAAAGUAAAUAAAAAAAAUAUAAAAAUAGUAAAUAUCAACCUUUGAAUCGAUUGUAUUGCUCUUGGUGUUUGUUGUUUUCGACUGUGGAAUAUGGAUGUUUUUAUUGAUUGCGAAUUCCCCCUUGUUUUACAGCAUUACAAUGGCUAUUUUAUAGCCGUAUGUAAUCAAUCUAAAGAAGAAACAAAUCUGUUUCUUUAUUUAAUUUACAAAUCUUUUGAUUCACUUUCCAUUUUUGUUUUUCCUUGAUGCGCAGGUGAAGAUCUACGGAGAUUCGGGGGCAUGGUUGCGGCGGCCAAAGUUUACCCUAGAACUCUAGAGUUUCUGAAAUUGUUCUUGGGCCUGGGGGUUAAUUUUGGGCCAAUCGUUGUUGUGUUUUGGUUUGGAUUUUGGGCCCAAAAAACUGUUGUAUUUGGACUGUUUUUCUUCACGAAGGCCGGGCAAAUUUGACCCAUUACAAUUAUAAUGACGGUUCUAAUUAUAAUUACACUCAAUAAUUAUUCUUAUAUAUUUAUUUUAAAAAACUUGGGCUGGAAAAAAGCCAUGUCCUAAAUAUUGAUUUGUAAAGUGCACGGGUAUUAAGUCUGAAAAACCCAUUAAACGUGCAGCUCGUGUCUUGCACACGUGAAAGUGAAGUGUGAUUUUUGUGGCCGAUGUUGUUAGAUUCAAAUGAUUUUUCUUAAAUA